Small nuclear RNA from Equus asinus (donkey), 147 nucleotides. Its record names the gene U2. It matches the Rfam family "U2 spliceosomal RNA". Rfam says of the family: U2 is a small nuclear RNA (snRNA) component of the spliceosome (involved in pre-mRNA splicing). The record is from Ensembl. Lineage: Eukaryota; Metazoa; Chordata; Mammalia; Perissodactyla; Equidae.
AUCGCUUCUCGGCCUUUUGGCUAAGAUCAAGUGUAGAGCUUUGAAUAGUAUAAUAAUAUUAUUUUGAUAGUAAUAACAAUAAACAAUCGCUAGCAUUAAUGAGAGCUUAGUGUAUGCCAGUCACCAUGCUAAGUGCUCUAGAUGCUU